This 253-nucleotide ribosomal RNA is filed under the name uncultured bacterium. Its description in RNAcentral is "partial 16S ribosomal RNA". It matches the Rfam family "Bacterial small subunit ribosomal RNA", at positions 524 to 776 of the family's 1533-position model. The record is from RNAcentral.
UACAGAGGGUGCAAGCGUUAAUCGGAAUUACUGGGCGUAAAGCGCACGUAGGCGGUUUUUUAAGUCAGAUGUGAAAGCCCCGGGCUCAACCUGGGAAUUGCAUUUGAAACUGGGAAACUAGAGUGUGUGAGAGGGGGGUAGAAUUCCAAGUGUAGCGGUGAAAUGCGUAGAGAUUUGGAGGAAUACCAGUGGCGAAGGCGGCCCCCUGGCACGAUACUGACGCUCAGGUGCGAAAGCGUGGGGAGCGAACCGG